Molecule: long non-coding RNA, 310 nt
Filed under: Gossypium barbadense (sea-island cotton)
Lineage: Eukaryota; Viridiplantae; Streptophyta; Magnoliopsida; Malvales; Malvaceae
Description: long non-coding RNA (GBAR_LNC021601)
Source: RNAcentral
CAAGAUAGUUUUCCCAAAAUUUCGACAAUCUAAUUUCACCCAAAAAGAGUAUGGAAAAACCCUAGAAAUUGGGGAUUUUUGGGCUGAUUCCUUAAGAUAGAAAAAGGUUGAAAACACAAUAAGAACAGAAAAUAGAUUAGAUAAUGAUUCAGCACAAGUAGAAAUAAAGAAAGAAUUGACAGUAAGAAAUUAAAAGAUAAGUCCUAAGAAGCCUUGAAAUCUCGAAAGAUCUCACAACUCCCUUCAAACGGCUCUAAUCUCCCCUCCAAAGAAUAUCAAUGGCAAGAAGAAGGUUGAAGAUGGCUCCCAC